This 345-nucleotide long non-coding RNA is filed under the name Gallus gallus (chicken). Its description in RNAcentral is "long non-coding RNA NONGGAT005860". Lineage: Eukaryota; Metazoa; Chordata; Aves; Galliformes; Phasianidae. The record is from RNAcentral.
AGAUUUAGACUUACAGCCUUCAUUCUCCUGUCCUGAUUCACAAAGCAAAAGGGAGUUUUGCCAGUGUUCACUUCCAUGUGAUUUACAGGCUAAAGUCAGAAGAUCAUCAAAGAGGAAAGGGGGAGAGCAGCAGUUCCCGGCCUCAGCACAGACCUGCCCUAUGUACUGCUGUCGGCAGAGAUCCUCCAGACCAAAGGUACCACAAGACUUACCUGCAGCAGACAUUGGAAGUAGCACUGUUAGCCUUGUUCCUCUCCGAGGGCUGUACUCCUUGUAAAUACAGCUUGUUCCGAUACAUGCUUUCUAAUUUUGCCAUGGUCUCCAAGUGGGCGUUCUUCAGCUCUU